AUUGAACGCUGGCGGCAUGCCUUACACAUGCAAGUCGAACAGCAGCGGGGGAGAAGCUUGCUUUUCCUGCCGGCGAGUGGCGAACGGGUGAGUAAUACAUCGGAACGUGCCCUGUAGGGGGGGAUAACUAGUCGAAAGAUUAGCUAAUACCGCAUACGACCUGAGGGGGAAAGUGGGGGACCUCAAGGCCUCAUGCUAUGGGAGCGGCCGAUGCCUGAUUAGCUAGUUGGUGGGGUAAAGGCCUACCAAGGCGACGAUCAGUAGCUGGUCUGAGAGGACGAUCAGCCACACUGGGACUGAGACACGGCCCAGACUCCUACGGGAGGCAGCAGUGGGGAAUUUUGGACAAUGGGCGAAAGCCUGAUCCAGCAAUGCCGCGUGUGUGAAGAAGGCCUUCGGGUUGUAGAGCACUUUUGUCCGGAAAGAAAUGGCUCUGGUUAAUACCUGGGGUCGAUGACGGUACCGGAAGAAUAAGGACCGGCUAACUACGUGCCAGCCGCCGCAGUAA
RNAcentral lists this ribosomal RNA (508 nucleotides) under uncultured bacterium. RNAcentral describes it as "partial 16S ribosomal RNA". It matches the Rfam family "Bacterial small subunit ribosomal RNA", at positions 30 to 523 of the family's 1533-position model. The record is from RNAcentral.